GACGAACGCUGGCGGUGCGCCUAAUGCAUGCAAGUCGAACGAGAUCGCUUUCUUCGGAGAGCACAUAUCUAGUGGCGGACGGCUGAGUAACACGUGAAUAAUCUACCUAUGAAUUCGGGAUAACUCGACGAAAGUUGCGCUAAUACCGGAUAAGACCACAUUUCUUAUGUGAUGUGGCCAAAGGAGUCUCAAACUUCGUUUAUAGAUGAGUUCGCGGACCAUUAGCUUGUUGGCGGGAUAAUAGCCCACCAAGGCUACGAUGGUUAGCCGGCCUGAGAGGGCGAUCGGCCACACUGGAACUGAGACACGGUCCAGACUCCUACGGGAGGCAGCAGUGGGGAAUAUUGCGCAAUGGGCGAAAGCCUGACGCAGCAACGCCGCGUGAGGGAUG
Molecule: ribosomal RNA, 391 nt
Filed under: uncultured Nitrospina sp.
Lineage: Bacteria; Pseudomonadati; Nitrospinota; Nitrospinia; Nitrospinales; Nitrospinaceae
Description: bacterial SSU rRNA
Rfam family: Bacterial small subunit ribosomal RNA
Source: RNAcentral